RNAcentral lists this ribosomal RNA (508 nucleotides) under uncultured bacterium. Its description in RNAcentral is "partial 16S ribosomal RNA". It matches the Rfam family "Bacterial small subunit ribosomal RNA", at positions 28 to 507 of the family's 1533-position model. The record is from RNAcentral.
GACGAACGCUGGCGGCGCGCCUAAUACAUGCAAGUCGAACGCUUCUUUCCUCCCGAGUGCUUGCACUCAAUUGGAAAGAGGAGUGGCGGACGGGUGAGUAACACGUGGGUAACCUACCCAUCAGAGGGGGAUAACACUUGGAAACAGGUGCUAAUACCGCAUAACAGUUUAUGCCGCAUGGCAUAAGAGUGAAAGGCGCUUUCGGGUGUCGUUGAUGGAUGGACCCGCGGUGCAUUAGCUAGUUGGUGAGGUAACGGCUCACCAAGGCCACGAUGCAUAGCCGACCUGAGAGGGUGAUCGGCCACACUGGGACUGAGACACGGCCCAGACUCCUACGGGAGGCAGCAGUAGGGAAUCUUCGGCAAUGGACGAAAGUCUGACCGAGCAACGCCGCGUGAGUGAAGAAGGUUUUCGGAUCGUAAAACUCUGUUGUUAGAGAAGAACAAGGACGUUAGUAACUGAACGUCCCCUGACGGUAUCUAACCAGAAAGCCACGGCUAACUACGUG